UAGCUAAUCUGGGCUAAGAAGAUGUACUGC
RNAcentral lists this non-coding RNA (30 nucleotides) under Homo sapiens (human). Lineage: Eukaryota; Metazoa; Chordata; Mammalia; Primates; Hominidae. The record is from RNAcentral.